AGUGAACGCUGGCGGUAGGCCUAACACAUGCAAGUCGAACGGCAGCACAGUCAUUGCUUUCUCUAACGGGUGUCGAGUGGCGGACGGGUGAGGAAUACAUCGGAAUCUACUUUUUCGUGGGUUGUAACGUAGGGAAACUUACGCUAAUACCUCAUACGACCUACGGGUGAAAGCAGGGGAUCUUCGGACCUUGCGCGAUUGAAUGAGCCGAUGUCGGAUUAGCUAGUGGGCGGGGUAAAGGCCCACUAAGGCGACGAUCCGUAGCUGGUCUGCGAGGAUGAUCAGCCACACUGGAACUGAGACACGGACCAGGCUCCUACGGGAGGGAGGAGCGGGGAAGAUGGGAAAUUGGGCGCAAGCCUGAUCCAGCCAUACCGAGGGGGUGAAGAAGGCCUUCGGGUUGGAAAGCCCUUCUGUUGGGAAAGAAAAGCAGCAGGUUAAUACCCAGCUGUUCUGACGGUACCCAAAGAAUAAGCACCGGCUAACUUCGUG
This 492-nucleotide ribosomal RNA is filed under the name uncultured bacterium. RNAcentral's name for it is "partial 16S ribosomal RNA". It matches the Rfam family "Bacterial small subunit ribosomal RNA", at positions 29 to 507 of the family's 1533-position model. The record is from RNAcentral.